Molecule: long non-coding RNA, 484 nt
Organism: Biomphalaria glabrata
Lineage: Eukaryota; Metazoa; Mollusca; Gastropoda; Planorbidae
Exons: 3
Source: RefSeq, a predicted model, not a curated record
AUUUUACAAAGUUAGUCAUUCUAUUUCAAAGUCAUUUUUCAUUUUAUUAUUUUAUUUAUAUAACGUUUCUCUUAAUAUAGAAUAGUAUAAUAGUGAACCGUAGAACGAAUUUAGGUUUCCAUGGCUAUUGUAUAGAUUUAUAUCUAAAACCGGGCUAAUCAUAUUUUUGUUUAACGAAAGUGCAGAUAAUGUUAAAAAGGCACUUUUUUGCUUUUUUGGGCCAACAUAUAACGAGAAAGGAGUCUUUUGGCCAGCAUAACGACCCGUACCCAUUGGAGUUUUCAAAUUGAAAAUACAAGUCUUCAUUAAGAUUCGAACCAAGGACCCAAGGUUCAGAAGUCAAAAACUUAACCGCUUUUGAUUUACAAGAACUCGUCAAAGAUGUUCUCCAAGAUGUUCCGCAAGAAAAAAAAUCAAACUGAUAAAAAAAUAUCUACAAAACUCAUCACAGAAAAAAUUAGCUUGAGUGGUGUUGAGUUUUGAG